Molecule: ribosomal RNA, 291 nt
Filed under: uncultured bacterium
Lineage: Bacteria
Description: partial 16S ribosomal RNA
Rfam family: Bacterial small subunit ribosomal RNA
Source: RNAcentral
GUGUCAGCAGCCGCGGUAAUACGUAGGGUCCAAGCGUUAUCCGGAAUCACUGGGCGUAAAGCGUGCGUAGGUGGUUUGUUAAGUGAGAUGUUAAACCGUGUGGCUCAACCAUACGUUGUAUCUCAUACUGGCAAACUAGAGGACGGCAGAGGCAAGUGGAAUUUGUAGUGUAGCAGUGAAAUGCGUAGAUAUUACAAGGAACACCAGUGGCGAAGGCGACUUUCUGGUCUGUAACUGACACUGAGGCGCGAAAGCGUGGGGAGCAAACAGGAUUAGAUACCCCAGUAGUCC